Molecule: transfer RNA, 73 nt
Filed under: Solirubrobacterales bacterium
Lineage: Bacteria; Bacillati; Actinomycetota; Thermoleophilia; Solirubrobacterales
Also listed under: 1 other name
Description: tRNA-Gly
Rfam family: tRNA
About the family: Transfer RNA (tRNA) molecules are approximately 80 nucleotides in length.
Source: RNAcentral
GCGGACGUAGCUCAGUUGGUAGAGCGCAAGCUUCCCAAGCUUGAGGUCGCGGGUUCGAACCCCGUCGUCCGCU